AGAAAAUUUUCAACGGUGGAUAUCUAGGUUCCCGUGACGAUGAAUAACGCAGCGAAAUGCGAUACGCACUGCGAAUUGCAGAACCGCGAGUCAUCAGAUCUUUGAACGCACGUGGUGAGGUGUAAAAACCUUCAUGUUUGUUUCAGUGUGGAA
Molecule: ribosomal RNA, 153 nt
Filed under: Tetrahymena sp. BOLD:AAO5070
Lineage: Eukaryota; Ciliophora; Oligohymenophorea; Hymenostomatida; Tetrahymenidae
Description: 5.8S ribosomal RNA
Rfam family: 5.8S ribosomal RNA
About the family: 5.8S ribosomal RNA (5.8S rRNA) is a component of the large subunit of the eukaryotic ribosome. It is transcribed by RNA polymerase I as part of the 45S precursor that also contains 18S and 28S rRNA. Functionally, it is thought that 5.8S rRNA may be involved in ribosome translocation.
Source: RNAcentral